Molecule: ribosomal RNA, 478 nt
Filed under: uncultured bacterium
Lineage: Bacteria
Description: partial 16S ribosomal RNA
Rfam family: Bacterial small subunit ribosomal RNA
Source: RNAcentral
GAUGAACGCUAGCGGCAGGCCUAACACAUGCAAGUCGAGGGAGAAGCCCUUUCGGGGUCAGAAACCGGCGCACGGGUGCGUAACGCGUAUGCAACCUACCUUUCACAUGGGUAUAGCCCGAAGAAAUUUGGAUUAAUACCCCAUAAUAUUAUUAGAUGGCAUCAUUUGAUAAGUAAAACUUCUUUGGUGCAUGAUGGGCAUGCGUCCUAUUAGCUAGUUGGAGUGGUAACGGCACCCCAAGGCUACGAUAGGUAGGAGUCCUGAGAGGGAGAUCCCCCACAAUGGUACUGAGACAGGGACCACACUCCUACGGGAGGCAGCAGUGAGGAAUAUUGGUGAAUGGUCGGAAGACUGAACCAGCCAUGCCGCGUGCAGGAAGAAUGCCUUAUGGGUUGUAAACUGCUUUUAUAUGGGAAGAAUAAGGUGUACGUGUACGUUGAUGACGGUACCAUAUGAAUAAGCACCGGCUAACUCCGUG